Molecule: ribosomal RNA, 274 nt
Filed under: uncultured bacterium
Lineage: Bacteria
Description: partial 16S ribosomal RNA
Rfam family: Bacterial small subunit ribosomal RNA
Source: RNAcentral
AUACGGAGGGUGCAAGCGUUAAUCGGAAUUACUGGGCGUAAAGCGCGCGUAGGCGGUUAUUUAAGUCAGAUGUGAAAUCCCUGGGCUCAACCUAGGAACUGCAUCUGAUACUGGGUAACCAGAGUUUUCGAGAGGUAAGUGGAAUUUCCGGUGUAGCGGUGAAAUGCAUAGAGAUCGGAAGGAACACCAGUGGCGAAGGCGACUUACUGGCCAAAAACUGACGCUGAGGUGCGAAAGCGUGGGUAGCAAACAGGAUUAGAAACCCGAGUAGUCC